GCUGCGGACUUCCGUUGGCUUUAUUGACCGUGAGGGUUCAAGUCCCUCUACCCCCA
RNAcentral lists this transfer RNA (56 nucleotides) under Drepanocladus longifolius. RNAcentral's name for it is "partial tRNA-Leu". Lineage: Eukaryota; Viridiplantae; Streptophyta; Bryopsida; Hypnales; Amblystegiaceae. The record is from RNAcentral.